Molecule: ribosomal RNA, 673 nt
Filed under: uncultured bacterium
Lineage: Bacteria
Description: partial 16S ribosomal RNA
Source: RNAcentral
CACCGCUACACCUGGAAUUCCACCCCCCUCUACCAUACUCAAGCCAAGCAGUAUCAAAUGCAGUUCCCAGGUUGAGCCCGGGGCUUUCACAUCUGACUUACCUCGCCGCCUACGUGCGCUUUACGCCCAGUGAUUCCGAUUAACGCUUGCACCCUCCGUAUUACCGCGGCUGCUGGCACGGAGUUAGCCGGUGCUUCUUCUGUGGGUAACGUCAAGACCAAAGGGUAUUAACCUCCGGCUUUUCUUCCCCACUGAAAGUGCUUUACAACCCGCAGGCCUUCUUCACACACGCGGCAUUGCUGGAUCAGGCUUUCGCCCAUUGUCCAAUAUUCCCCACUGCUGCCUCCCGUAGGAGUCUGGGCCGUGUCUCAGUCCCAGUGUGGCUGAUCAUCCUCUCAGACCAGCUACCGAUCGUCGCCUUGGUGGGCCGUUACCCCACCAACAAGCUAAUCGGACGCGGGCUCAUCCUGCAGCGAGAGCCCGAAGGCCCCCUUUCUCCCGUAAGACGUAUGCGGUAUUAGCCCGAGUUUCCUCGGGUUGUCCCCCACUGCAGGGCAGAUUCCCACGCGUUACUCACCCGUCCGCCACUCUACUCACCCCGAAGGGCUUUCGCGUUCGACUUGCAUGUGUUAGGCAUGCCGCCAGCGUUCAAUCUGAGCCAGGAUCAAACUCU